This 253-nucleotide ribosomal RNA is filed under the name uncultured bacterium. RNAcentral's name for it is "partial 16S ribosomal RNA". It matches the Rfam family "Bacterial small subunit ribosomal RNA", at positions 524 to 776 of the family's 1533-position model. The record is from RNAcentral.
UACGUAGGGUGCAAGCGUUAAUCGGAAUUACUGGGCGUAAAGCGUGCGCAGGCGGUUGUGCAAGACGGAUGUGAAAUCCCUGGGCUUAACCUAGGAAUUGCAUUCGUGACUGCACGGCUAGAGUGUGUCAGAGGGGGGUAGAAUUCCACGUGUAGCAGUGAAAUGCGUAGAUAUGUGGAGGAAUACCGAUGGCGAAGGCAGCCCCCUGGGAUAACACUGACGCUCAUGCACGAAAGCGUGGGGAGCAAACAGG